UCUCAACUCUCUGAAUCCUCUCUUGUAACUAUUGCAAAAAUGUUUCUUUCUUCCUUUAUUUUUUGUUUUGAUCGUAGAUUGGUAUUGGUUUUUCUUCCGGGGAGAAUGGGACCGUAACUGGCCUUUCUUUGGCGGCUUUGCCAUCACUGGCACUCUUAUCACCAGAUUCUCUAUCAUCCUCACCGAGUAGGAUGCGAAGAAUUCCCCAUUUGUGCAGAGGCACAAGAAAUGACAACAACAAUAUCAAUUGAAGAUGUUCAUUGGGAGGUGAAAUAUGGAAAGCAUUAUUGGGGCAUGCGAAUAUGAUCAAAUUCCAUGAUGCUUUUGAGGAUGAAAACAAUGUCUAUGUUGUCAUGGAAUUAUGUGAAGAUGGAGAACUAAUGGACAAGAUUUUAUCAAGGUAUUAAAGGAGAAGGACUGCUUCUGCUCCCUCUGAUACUUCAGAUAUUUUUAGUUGCUUUUUAGCUUUGACUCCAUACUUUUUGAUGAGGAUGCUCCAAUGAGGAUUACUGAUUUUGGUCUAUCUUAUUUUGUUAGGCCAGGUAACAUUUUCUUGCUGAUAAGCUCAUCUCUGUGAAAUUGUCCUAAUGUUCGUUGUGAGAUUGAUUUUGUUUGACUUGAUAACCUCACAUAUAAAGCAUUUUGAUUGCUGCACUCGAAGGCUCAAAAUUGAACUUGUCUCCGGAAACUCUGUGAAUUUGGAAAUGUGCGCUCCUGGUGCCAGAUCAAUGCUCUCUUUGAAGAUUUUUUGUUCGAGUCACUUUAUGGUUAUAUAGAUUAAUUACUCGUGGGAAAUCAGGUUUUGUUUAGUCAAAACGAUCUCAUUGCAUGCCCCACUGCAGCUGGCCCCUGCAAUGUAACAUGCAAGUGUGGAAAUAAGUGCAACUUAUUGUUCUAUGUCCAAUUAGCAAUCAUUUUCUUCUAUGUUCUGUUGUUCAGUAGAAAACUUGAUUUGAAAGGCUAAGUUGUGUAGGUAUAAAAAGCAUACACUGGAUUUGGGUCUGUGAAACCAAAACUGUUUAUGUUUCAUUGUUUUCUUUGAAUUUUGAUCGUUUAGCACCUAGCUUAAUAACUCAUAAACAAAGGGAAAUGGUAAAUGGUUGUAGAA
Long non-coding RNA from Populus euphratica (Euphrates poplar), 1108 nucleotides. RefSeq lists it as uncharacterized. The record is from RefSeq and is a predicted model, not a curated record. Lineage: Eukaryota; Viridiplantae; Streptophyta; Magnoliopsida; Malpighiales; Salicaceae. The transcript has 5 exons.